UGUAUGUGAGGAGAACAUGCUUUUAAAGUAUAUUACAACACGUCCAUCAUUCAAAUAUCCACUAGUUCUCUGACCGCUGCACUGUUUCUAUUCAACUGGAUUCCAUCAGGUUGUAUCUGGGGGUUUCUGCCUUUUGGGCCUGAUAUAAUCUGGUUCUUGGUUCUUUUGGAUCAGCUUUAUUUGAUUGUUUUUGAGCUAUAUCUAUCCUCUUCACAUUAUAACUGUCUGGAUUAUCCAGGUCAAGUGUUCUUCUUGAGUUGGGAUCGGAACGAUGAUUCUUACACUGAUUCUGAUAGGUUCUUCUAUCUCGUAUCCAAGGACAGGUGCUGUGGGUACAUACAAGCUCAAAAAUCCGGUUCUGAUCGGUCCAUCCACUGCAAUGGAAUAUUCCUAUGUGACUUUUUUCUGUGCAGUUCCAGAGAUUCCGGAAGAGUUGGGUGUCUCAUACACACUUUAUCUUUAUCAAGCCAACCUCAAGAAAAACCUCGGGGAGUACUCCGCUCUCUCAGGACAAGAGGCAGUUUUUAAUUUUCCAGUCACUAUCGCACAGGACAGUGUACUCAUCUGUGAAGCCAGUGGACACAAUAACACAGAUAUCGAGAGCACACUCAGCAACAUUCUGAGACUUAAAGUCAUCAGUCCAGUGGAGAAAGUGUCAAUCAUUUCUCACCCGUCCACUGAUGAUUUGUGGGAGGGGCAGAAUUUGAUGCUCCACUGCAACAUAACAAAAGGCACUUACGUCUUGUAUGAUUGGCUACGGAACGGAAUGGAGAUUCAAAUGCCGUAUGACAGGACUGCAGACUCUCUGACAAUUCACAGACUGUCUGGGCAACAUACGGGCAACUAUACAUGUGUGGCAUCAAACCAGUACAAUAACACAAUGAUCUUUAGUGCCAUCAGUGACAUCAUACAUGUUCAUGUCAAAGAACAUUUGUCAAAGCCUGAAAUCUCACUUAAUAUUGUGAAGCUUGCGUUUGGUGAAUUUAAAGCAAUCAUCACAUGCCGAUCUGAGAAAGGAACUCCACCGAACACCUUCAGACUGUUAAACAACACUAAGAUCAUCGCCACUGAAACUACCCACAGAACGAGCGCUAUUUUCAGUGUGCCCAUUGAGCUGAACCAAAACAUGGGCUGGGUGAGAUGUAACGCCAGCAACGAGGGCAGCUUGCAGCUGAGUGAACCCAUCAGCCUGACUGUCGAGUCUGUAGGUGGCGCUGUAACGAUGAUACCCUUCAAACAAGUGGGACGGGACUUUCAAGUGUAUGGUCUGGUUCUGCGCUGCAGUGUCGAGCGAGGAACGUUUCCUCAUUACCGCUGGUUCCUCAACAAAACCAGACUGGAGGGCAGAGGAGGUUUCUACACUGUGGACUGGACAGAUGGCUCCGUUCUGUCAUUGUCUGUGGAGUCACGCAGCGCUGGAUUCUACCACUGUGAAGCUUCUGAUCAAUUUGACAACAGCACCAGAGUCAUCAGUCCAAAGAUGCUGAUCAACAAGGAGUUACUGAACAAAAUCUCUACUUUGGCCGUUGUUGUUGUUUUUACCAGUUUUUUCCUGCUGGUUAUUGCAGUGACAGUUUGCUGUAUUUAUGGAGUUGUGCUACGAAGAAGAUAUUCAAGGAAAUACCCAUGGCAGCAAGUACUAGAAAAAAUAAUUCUUCCUCUGUCACCCUCCAUCACAAUAUACAGAUCUGAAAUGUAGGUGGCGCUCUAACACAUCUCAGCCCUGACAGAUGUGCUCGUCACAUACUGAUUGAACAGCACAGAGAAAUGAAAAUAAAAGCUACACAUGAAGAUGAAGAGGAGAUGGUGGAAAGUUACGGUGAAGACACUGUCCACGCUGACAGAAUGAGUGAUUCUGCUGAGGAUGAAGAGGAGUCGAUUGAUGAAACCCUCCUGUAUGAAGGAACUACAACAAAAUAAUUCUACAGAAAUGCUUUCGUUUUCUGGGACACUGAAAAAAGCUGUUUGGUUUUU
Molecule: RNA transcript, 1974 nt
Organism: Myxocyprinus asiaticus (Chinese sucker)
Lineage: Eukaryota; Metazoa; Chordata; Actinopteri; Cypriniformes; Catostomidae
Gene name: Fc receptor-like protein 5
Exons: 12
Source: RefSeq, a predicted model, not a curated record